Molecule: long non-coding RNA, 618 nt
Organism: Megalobrama amblycephala (Wuchang bream)
Lineage: Eukaryota; Metazoa; Chordata; Actinopteri; Cypriniformes; Xenocyprididae
Exons: 3
Source: RefSeq, a predicted model, not a curated record
AGACUGGUAAGGAGAGGGAGGAGUUUCUUAAGGAAAUUCUGUAGAGUAUUUAAGCGAGAGGAAGCAGAGAUCCGUCCUUUCUUAUCCUGCAGACUCUCUUGUCUGAGAUGGAGCGGAGAUGGUCUACUUGUUUGCUGUGAUCUAGUGUGCAGUUUGCUGCCACCAGAUGACUGCACACGAGUUGAGACGUCACGCUGCCUAAGGCUCUUUCAGGCUUUUAGCCAAUGCUUGCGUUUAUUUUUUUAUUUUGAGGAGGAGAGGAGGAGAACCAAUCUGCCAAGGGAUUCGGCACUCGGGUCCGCUGCCCUGUUCUAGUGCAUUCUCUGGCAACACUGGAUGUCUGGCUGGGGUCCAGUGGACCUGAAGUGGACAGAGCCAGGUCUAUGACCCGCUAAUGAAGCACCAGAAACUAGAAGCAACCGAACAAUCAAUCACAAAAGCCGACAACUUCCCCUAACCUUUUUCCCUUUGGUCGGCUUCUGGUUGUCUGUUGCUUGGUUAGUAGGUUAUGGGGAUGGCCUGCUGUAAAACCAACCUUUUUUUGAAUAAAGGCUGACUGCAACUUCUUCCUAAAAAAGUAAAAAAUCAAUAAAAAUGGAAAAACCUGCUGAACUAAAA